Molecule: signal recognition particle RNA, 95 nt
Filed under: Akkermansiaceae bacterium
Lineage: Bacteria; Pseudomonadati; Verrucomicrobiota; Verrucomicrobiia; Verrucomicrobiales; Akkermansiaceae
Description: signal recognition particle sRNA small type
Rfam family: Bacterial small signal recognition particle RNA
About the family: The signal recognition particle (SRP) is a universally conserved ribonucleoprotein involved in the co-translational targeting of proteins to membranes. Archaeal SRP consists of a 7S RNA and homologues of the eukaryotic SRP19 and SRP54 proteins. In most bacteria, the SRP consists of a 4.5S RNA and the Ffh protein (a homologue of the eukaryotic SRP54 protein).
Source: RNAcentral
CGCCAGGGGCUGCGGAGUAGUGGCUGGUGAAACCCGCCAGGUCCGAAAGGAAGCAACGGUAGCCAGUCCCCUAUUGCCGCGGCCUCCUGGCACUU